GGGAUAACGUAGGGAAACUUACGCUAAUACCGCAUACGACCUACGGGUGAAAGCAGGGGAUCUUCGGACCUUGCGCGAUUGAAUGAGCCGAUGUCGGAUUAGCUAGUUGGCGGGGUAAAGGCCCACCAAGGCGACGAUCCGUAGCUGGUCUGAGAGGAUGAUCAGCCACACUGGAACUGAGACACGGUCCAGACUCCUACGGGAGGCAGCAGUGGGGAAUAUUGGACAAUGGGCGCAAGCCUGAUCCAGCCAUACCGCGUGGGUGAAGAAGGCCUUCGGGUUGUAAAGCCCUUUUGUUGGGAAAGAAAUCCAGCCGGCUAAUACCCGGUUGGGAUGACGGUACCCAAAGAAUAAGCACCGGCUAACUUCGUGCCAGCAGCCGCGGUAAUACGAAGGGUGCAAGCGUUACUCGGAAUUACUGGGCGUAAAGCGUGCGUAGGUGGUCGUUUAAGUCCGUUGUGAAAGCCCUGGGCUCAACCUGGGAACUGCAGUGGAUACUGGGCGACUAGAGUGUGGUAGAGGGUAGCGGAAUUCCUGGUGUAGCAGUGAAAUGCGUAGAGAUCAGGAGGAACAUCCAUGGCGAAGGCAGCUACCUGGACCAAC
Molecule: ribosomal RNA, 603 nt
Filed under: Stenotrophomonas sp.
Lineage: Bacteria; Pseudomonadati; Pseudomonadota; Gammaproteobacteria; Lysobacterales; Lysobacteraceae
Description: bacterial SSU rRNA
Rfam family: Bacterial small subunit ribosomal RNA
Source: RNAcentral